GUCAGAAUGGCAGAGUGGUCUAAGGCGCCAGACUUAAGGUGAUUUAACCUUCUUAGGUAGUGAGAAUUCUGGUCUCCAGCUGGAAGCGUGGGUUCAAAUCCCACUUUUGACA
This is a non-coding RNA of Danio rerio (zebrafish), 112 nucleotides long. The record is from Rfam. NCBI's taxonomy places the organism in Eukaryota, Metazoa, Chordata, Actinopteri, Cypriniformes, Danionidae.